GGUUAGCGGCGGACGGGUGAGUAACACGUGGGCAACCUGCCUAUAAGACUGGGAUAACUUCGGGAAACCGGAGCUAAUACCGGAUAAUCCUUUUCCUCUCAUGAGGAAAAGCUGAAAGACGGUUUCGGCUGUCACUUAUAGAUGGGCCCGCGGCGCAUUAGCUAGUUGGUGAGGUAAUGGCUCACCAAGGCGACGAUGCGUAGCCGACCUGAGAGGGUGAUCGGCCACACUGGGACUGAGACACGGCCCAGACUCCUACGGGAGGCAGCAGUAGGGAAUCUUCCGCAAUGGACGAAAGUCUGACGGAGCAACGCCGCGUGAACGAUGAAGGCCUUCGGGUCGUAAAGUUCUGUUGUUAGGGAAGAACAAGUACCGGAGUAACUGCCGGUACCUUGACGGUACCUAACCAGAAAGCCACGGCUAACUACGUGCCAGCAGCCGCGGUAAUACGUAGGUGGCAAGCGUUGUCCGGAAUUAUUGGGCGUAAAGCGCGCGCAGGCGGUUCCUUAAGUCUGAUGUGAAAGCCCCCGGCUCAACCGGGGAGGGUCAUUGGAAACUGGGGAACUUGAGUACUGAAGAGGAAAGCGGAAUUCCACGUGUAGCGGUGAAAUGCGUAGAGAUGUGGAGGAACACCAGUGGC
RNAcentral lists this ribosomal RNA (640 nucleotides) under Bacillus sp. (in: firmicutes). RNAcentral describes it as "bacterial SSU rRNA". It matches the Rfam family "Bacterial small subunit ribosomal RNA", at positions 90 to 716 of the family's 1533-position model. Lineage: Bacteria; Bacillati; Bacillota; Bacilli; Caryophanales; Bacillaceae. The record is from RNAcentral.